GGCCGGUUAGCUCAGUUGGUCAGAGCGUCGUGCUAAUAACGCGAAGGUCGCGGGUUCAAUGCCCGUACUGGCCA
Molecule: transfer RNA, 74 nt
Filed under: Dallia pectoralis (Alaska blackfish)
Lineage: Eukaryota; Metazoa; Chordata; Actinopteri; Esociformes; Umbridae
Description: tRNA-OTHER
Rfam family: tRNA
About the family: Transfer RNA (tRNA) molecules are approximately 80 nucleotides in length. Their secondary structure includes four short double-helical elements and three loops (D, anti-codon, and T loops). Further hydrogen bonds mediate the characteristic L-shaped molecular structure. tRNAs have two regions of fundamental functional importance: the anti-codon, which is responsible for specific mRNA codon recognition, and the 3' end, to which the tRNAs corresponding amino acid is attached (by aminoacyl-tRNA synthetases). tRNAs cope with the degeneracy of the genetic code in two manners: having more than one tRNA (with a specific anti-codon) for a particular amino acid; and 'wobble' base-pairing, i.e. permitting non-standard base-pairing at the 3rd anti-codon position.
Source: RNAcentral